AUGGCGCGUUCUACUUCUCCUUCUCCUUGCUUGCUAUGCAGAGUUGCGAUCCUUGCUCUCAUAUGCUGCUCCUUGUCAUGCUUGGCUGCGUCUGGAGAUGCUCUUGAUGGAUACCGUAGGCCAAGGCGUCCUCCCGCGCCGAAGCCCCUGCAACCUCACACUCCUCACACUCCAACUCCACCAGUUCCAUCUCGGCCACCGCCGACGCCGGUGCCUGGGAGGCCGAUGACUCCAGCUCCCACACCAUGUCCUGUGGUCCUUGUUCCUCCGCCGCCACCUCCAACGCCCCUGCCCAAAUACCCGGUGACUCCAACUCCAGUAGUGAUUCCUUCGGUCCCUAUUUGUCCGCCACCACCACCGCCGCCGGUGCAGGAGACGCCGGCACUUGCGCCGCACCGCAAGACUCUAGAGCACGCUACUAAGAACGUGCUUAAUUAA
This 438-nucleotide ribosomal RNA is filed under the name Triticum aestivum (bread wheat). RNAcentral's name for it is "partial small subunit ribosomal RNA". The record is from RNAcentral. Lineage: Eukaryota; Viridiplantae; Streptophyta; Magnoliopsida; Poales; Poaceae.